UGGGGAAUAUUGGACAAUGGGCGCAAGCCUGAUCCAGCCAUGCCGCGUGAGUGAUGAGGCCUUAGGGUUGUAAAGCUCUUUCGCCGGUGAAGAUAAUGACGGUAACCGGAGAAGAAGCCCCGGCUAACUUCGUGCCAGCAGCCGCGGUAAUACGAAGGGGGCUAGCGUUGCUCGGAAUCACUGGGCGUAAAGCGCACGUAGGCGGAUCGUUAAGUCAGGGGUGAAAUCCUGGAGCUCAACUCCAGAACUGCCCUUGAUACUGGCGAUCUCGAGUUCGAGAGAGGUUGGUGGAACUCCGAGUGUAGAGGUGAAAUUCGUAGAUAUUCGGAAGAACACCAGUGGCGAAGGCGGCCAACUGGCUCGAUACUGACGCUGAGGUGCGAAAGCGUGGGGAGCAAAACAGGAUUUAGAUACCCUGGUAGUCCACGCCGUAAACGAUGGAUGCUAGCCGUUGGGGGGUUUACCUCUCAGUGGCGCAGCUAACGCCUUAAGCAUCCCGCCUGGGGAGUACGGUCGCAAGAUUAAAACUCAAAGGAAUUGACGGGGUCAUAGCU
RNAcentral lists this ribosomal RNA (554 nucleotides) under uncultured bacterium. Its description in RNAcentral is "partial 16S ribosomal RNA". It matches the Rfam family "Bacterial small subunit ribosomal RNA", at positions 355 to 926 of the family's 1533-position model. The record is from RNAcentral.